CGCUCGGGCCUCACGUGAGAGGCGAAGUCAGCCCGCCUCCUUUCCCCCACGACUUUCUCCUCACGCUGCCGCCACUACGCCGGAUCAGACAGGCGGGACCAGCCGUCGAACGAGUCGUGUGACGCCAUUCGGAUUCUGUCAAGGUGGCGCAGUCAGGGACCAGGGAGUUAAGAGCAGGAUGUUUUAGCAGAAGAAACAUCUAAACUUCGAAGAUGCCCUAGCAAUGACAACACCCCUGUGAACACAAGAAUGACAGCUGUUUCAGUACUGCAGCUCCCACUUCUUGAAGAUGAAGUAACCUUUAAGAAGAAAAAGAUACAUUACUGGCCAAACAUGCCAACUUAAAAAGCACUCAGCAUUAAUUACAGAGAAAUCUAAGCUGGGAACAGCGAAGCACUACAGAUGUAUCACACGAGGAUAAAGCCUGUCAGCUCAUUUCCAACAGGUCACAGCAUGAGCAUUUUUUUUUUUUUUUUGGCAACACAAAUAGAAAUGCACUUAAAUCAUUAUUUCACAACUAGGAUGGGCGGAGGAGUGGGGGGGACCUACACUACUAGUCCUAUAGCCUUUUAGGCAAACAAUUGUAUAUGAACAUGGAUUAAAAUUAUGCUAAAUUAAAUCUGGAAAGCAAUGUUUGCUUAAACCAAAAGUAAAACAAUAAUGUUUUACACUAUAUAAAUUUAGUGAACUAGUGUCAUACAUACAUACAUCACCAGAAGGGAUAGGAUUCUCAACUUCAUUUUAUGGCAACUGAAACUAUCACCUCUCAUAACCAAUUCUGCAACUCACUUUUAUGUGAAAAAGCCCAAUGAAAGUACUGGGAAUUCUAAUUUAUAAAUAUGCAUAAGUUUGCAAUAUAGAAAAUUAGUGUUUAGUAGUAGUGCUUCUACACUGUUUUGACAAAUGUAUAUAAAAGUAAUAGGAAAGAACAUAAACUAUGCUUGAGCUAGAAGUCCCUGUUUCAGCUCUCAGAUCAGCUGUGAAUUCAGAGCCAAACAAGAUAAGACCUGAAACAUGUUGUUUGGCCCUGUGUUUUGUGGGGAGAGGUAAAGGGAGUAAAUAGUCUGGGACUGCAUCUGAAGAUUAAUUAAAAUAAAUUUAGAUAAAAGUUUUUUAAAGCAGGGGGAUUAAAUCUCCCUCCCUCAUACUGCAGCCCAAUCUGGAUUGGUGGGCCCCUGAAGCUGCUAUUACAAAAAUCAAAAGCAUGCAGGACCAAACACACGUAAAAUCACACGUCUUUUGGCAUUGUGGCCUGGACAAAUCGUUAUUUCUUGUUUUCAGUCCUCCAUCUGUAGAGUUGCCAGGCCACAUCCCAGACUAUCGAGACUGUGUGUGAUUCAUGAACAGUUCCACAGAAGCAUCAGACAAUGUGGUCAGAGCCUCUGUUCUUCUGCUUCCAACUAUCCUUUCUCUGGGGCAAAAUGAAAGCCCUACUUGCUCUAGCAGAUGGGAUGAAAAGAUGGACAAAGAAACCAGAGGAUAAAGCAUGGUAGGAGAAGCUACGACUGCUGAUCAAUCAUAGGACUGUAUCACAGCAAUAAAACCCAAAAGAAGGCAUUGGAAAUGUGAACAGCACCUUACUGACAGGGCAGAGACUGCAAUGUCAAUACACAGGCAAUAUGGAAGCACACUUAUCGGACAUGUAGUGACACUGGAAAGUGCCUAGGACUUGCAGGCUUUACCAAAAAAUGAGUAAGGUGGCAUCUGAUAAAGACUACCCUUUCAUCUGCAAAUCUAGAUCCUUUGAAAUGCAUGUAAGCCAGUUCCCUGAAAACAGGGGCAUUACACAUAGCAAAAACCUGACUAUGUUUUGUUAUAAUUUUAUUAAAUUUAUACCACAAUAAAAGAGCUCUAGGAAUUUCUCAGUUAGUUCAUUAUAUACAAUGAAAGAGGGCCAAAAUAUUAAGACAGAAUUAUAUUGGCAAAACUCCUUUUAAUCUUCUUCUGCGUGAUCCCCACCGCACAUUAAGGUCAUCUGAGGAGGCCCGUCUCCAGUUACCACCAGCUUGUCUGGUGGCGACUCAGAGGCAGGCCUUCUUUAUAGCUGCUCCGGGGCUGUGCAAUGCGCUCCCUGUGGAAAUCCGCAAUUUGAAUUCUCUAUUAGCCUUCAGGGGAGCCCUUAAAACAUAUUUGUUUGGCCUGGCUUUCCAGGGUUUUAAAAUCUGUUUUAAUAUUCUAACCCGAUUUUGGGGCUUUUAAUAAUUGUAAUUGUUUUAAUUGUUGUUUUAAAAUGUUUUUAAAUUGUUAAUUGUUAUAUUGUUUUUAAUUUGUUUUAGCUCUUUAUUGUUUUAGUGGUUUGUUUUAACUGUA
This is a long non-coding RNA of Hemicordylus capensis (graceful crag lizard), 2310 nucleotides long. RefSeq lists it as uncharacterized. NCBI's taxonomy places the organism in Eukaryota, Metazoa, Chordata, Lepidosauria, Squamata, Cordylidae. The transcript has 5 exons. The record is from RefSeq and is a predicted model, not a curated record.